Molecule: ribosomal RNA, 220 nt
Filed under: uncultured bacterium
Lineage: Bacteria
Description: partial 16S ribosomal RNA
Rfam family: Bacterial small subunit ribosomal RNA
Source: RNAcentral
GCAAGUCGAGCGCAUCCUUCGGGCUUAGUGGCGCACGGGUGCGUAACGCGUAAGAACCUGCCUUUCGGUUCGGAAUAACAGUUGAAAACGACUGCUAAUACCGGAUAAUGACUUCGGUCCAAAGAUUUAUCGCCGAAAGAUGGGCCCGCGUUAGAUUAGCUAGUUGGUGGGGUAAAGGCCUACCAAGGCGACGAUCUAUAGCUGGUCUGAGAGGAUGAUC